GUGGGGAAUCUUAGACAAUGGGGGAAACCCUGAUCUAGCCAUGCCGCGUGAGCGAUGAAGGCCUUAGGGUUGUAAAGCUCUUUCAGCUGGGAAGAUAAUGACUGUACCAGCAGAAGAAGCCCCGGCUAACUCCGUGCCAGCAGCCGCGGUAAUACGGAGGGGGCUAGCGUUGUUCGGAAUUACUGGGCGUAAAGCGCACGUAGGCGGACCGGAAAGUUGGGGGUGAAAUCCCGGGGCUCAACCCCGGAACUGCCUUCAAAACUCCCAGUCUUGAGUUCGAGAGAGGUGAGUGGAAUUCCGAGUGUAGAGGUGAAAUUCGUAGAUAUUCGGAGGAACACCAGUGGCGAAGGCGGCUCACUGGCUCGAUACUGACGCUGAGGUGCGAAAGCGUGGGGAGCAAACAGGAUUAGAUACCCCGGUAGUCC
This 425-nucleotide ribosomal RNA is filed under the name uncultured bacterium. Its description in RNAcentral is "partial 16S ribosomal RNA". It matches the Rfam family "Bacterial small subunit ribosomal RNA", at positions 354 to 796 of the family's 1533-position model. The record is from RNAcentral.